AUGGUCUUUGGCUGGAAACGCUGUCGCUUGAAAAUCUUCAGGGAUUCAGCAUUCCGGACGGGUGUGAGGAGAUCAUUCCACCAGCCUGGAACGGUGAACGAGAAUGUUCUGGAAAGUGAUUUUGUGCCUCUCUGUGAUGGUACCACGAUUCAGCGCAUCACUGUAGCUGUUAGAAGCUCCAGUUCCCAUAGAAACAGGAGAUUCAUAGGAAACAUGUUCCCGUGUUCUCUAAUUAUCCCCUAAACCUGACUGGAUGAGAUAUGCACGGCACGGCUGCUUUUAGCUUUCAACAUGGUUAGAAAAUUGGAUUAUUUCAUUCAGAUUGGGCAGAAGAUGACAGAAUUAAACAGUUACUCUUCAGGUGUGAAUAAUGUGAACUAUGUGGCGAUUUGAUUCAGUGUCUUAUUAGGAUCCGUACCAUUGGGUUUGUGUUUGUCACAGAUUUGAUAUGCCACAUGCUUUGACUUCUCUGUAAAGGCAUUAUUCCAAGCUCACAUUUAGUUUGUUUUAUUGUUUGGUCUCGGAUGUAUAUUGCUCCUCUGUUCUUCGCGUGUAAAAUCUUGUAAAAGGAGCGUGAUGUAUAAAAAGGACAGAGAAAACGAGAGCGAUCAAUGCACUGAAGAGGAUAAUGUCUUGCUCGAGGACAGCGAAGAGAGGUUGUGGCUCAUAUAUUUGCACACCCAUCACCAUAAAAGCCGCAAUCGGCCUUCCCUUCAACUCACCGGCAAGAGGAGGCACACAGAAAGUCUGUAGUAUUCUUUUGCUUACUCUCUUUUGCUGCUUUACGGAAAGUCUUUUAAGCUAGUAUAACCACAAAUUCUCAGUGAUCAAUAUUUCAGUGGCCAAGCACAUCAAAGCACCUUACAAAAGAGUAUUAAAUAGCUAUGGAAGUUAUUAUUUUCCUGCAAGUGUACAGACGGCUCCCGUGUGACCAACAGACCGUGUGCAAAUUAUACAAUGACUUUUAAGGGUGAUGACUUUAAAAAAUUUAUUUCUACAGGACAUUAUCAUGCUACAGUCUGUUGAGGUCUAUCUCCUGCAAAAUAAAUCAUCUUUUGGUGGCCAAAUGUCAGCUUAAAAAAAAAAAAAAAAAACUUAAGUUUUCAUUUGUUAUUCUCUUGUGUGGUGACUCUGUAAUAAAAUGAUUAAUAAUGAAAGUAUUGCUAAGAAACUUAAGUGGCCUUUCAUUUCAUUAGUAUAUCAUCAGCAAGUACAGUUUUAAAAAAUAUACUUUUAGCAUUUGAAGUACACAUUUUAUACAACCAAAAUGUGUGUGUGUGUGAGUGAGAGUAAGUUAGUGAGUUUGUUUUGUACAGUAGACCAUUACACCUAUGCAAUAUCCCCAUAAUGAUAGGAAUACCAUCUGGUGUGUGUGUGUGAGAGAGUGAGUGUUUUCCAGCUAAUGUAGCCAGAGGUCGAGGUUUUAGGAAAGAUUUGUGUAUAAUAGUGAAAUUCCAUUCAGUUGACACAUGCAGUCAUUAAAGACGAGUGAUAGACUGUCUUGAACAUGAAGUGAAAGAGUUGUAGGUUACCACAUUUCUUCUUCACCCCAGGCAUGCAGGCGCUUAUGCUAUAGUGAAUGGCAGCAUCUGAGCUCUAUAGAGUUCCCUCCUGUUGUUCAGGGAUUAUAUCUGGCUAGUCGGCUUACUGUGAUGCUAAAAAGAAGUGUGCUGUGCUGCCUUCAAGUCAUGUCGAAAUGAUCGUAUUUACAAGGUGAGAGCACAUGAACAGCUCCAUAAUGUUGUAGCUACCAGUGGGAAAGUCAGGAUUUUCUUUGAGCCUUGAAUCUUAGGGUUGCUGAUGCGUCAAGUGAAGCAGAUUCAGAUGCACAUCAUAUUAUACUUGUAAGUAAACUGAGUUUAAGAAGACUUAAUAAGAAUUAUAAAUAAAGAAUUACAUUUAGUUUUUUUAAAAAACAUUUUUCAAUUCAUUAUUGUUUCUUUUAAGAUUAAAAGUUAUGGCAAUUUCUUACAGAGCCAUGUAAGGAAAUUAAUAAAAUAUUACUUUCUUUGAAGAUCCGGCCGCAGGGUGCUUUCUAAAUCUAAGGUCUGAUUCAUUCCCCCAGUCCAAUUUUUAAAUUCUCUACAUUAUUAAACCUUUUUAGUCUUUAUAGCUACUCCAUGUUCGGGAAAACAUGUUUCCUACUAAAUAGAAAUUAACAAACUAGU
Cyprinus carpio carpio is the source of this 2168-nucleotide long non-coding RNA. NCBI's taxonomy places the organism in Eukaryota, Metazoa, Chordata, Actinopteri, Cypriniformes, Cyprinidae. The record is from Ensembl.